GGGGGGAGCGCAGGAUCUUGGGAUGUGUCCCUGGGUGUCCUGGGCUCCCGGGCCUGUGCCACUGGAAUCGCGCUCCCGGCUGCACAGCCCCCU
RNAcentral lists this microRNA precursor (93 nucleotides) under Canis lupus familiaris (dog). RNAcentral's name for it is "mir-8799 microRNA precursor family". It matches the Rfam family "mir-8799 microRNA precursor family". RNAcentral also lists the same sequence under 1 other name. Lineage: Eukaryota; Metazoa; Chordata; Mammalia; Carnivora; Canidae. The record is from Rfam by way of RNAcentral.